AUGAUAUUAUUGAUGAUAUUGUGUUCAACAUGUGGAAGUGCCAGAACUGUUUAUCUAUGUUGCACCAUACAAGUUCGUGCACCAAGUAGGUCAGAUGUCGUCGUUGCUUUAAAUCGGGCCACAGAGCCAAGGGGUGUUCCGGCUCUGCGCCUUCCCCAGCUUUACAGGUGGGUCCCACGAGCCAAUUCGGUUUCUCUUGAACGGUCAGCGGAGAUAUACUCGCCCGGCGCCUCGGUUUCCACCCUGGGGUCUCUGCCCAGUCCUAUCACGCCUGCCACCCCAUCGCUUCCACCAUUGCCCGCAGAGCCACCGCCCAUCACGCCUCCGCCACCUACCUCAACGCUGCCGCCCACCACACCACCAGCUCCAUCGUCACCAACGCCCAGCUUGCCGCCAUCCUCCAGGGCUACAUCCUCGCCAACUGAGCUUGCUCCGAAUCCAACAAUGGCCACCUUUGCUCUAGACCCCACACCGUUCGUCCCGCAUGGUUUCGAGAUCAACGACGGUGGUCCGCGGCGACUCCUGCACACCUUCUACUCCCCUGUUGUGGCUCCCGAUCGUCAGCAUGAAGACUACGUCAUUGCCAUCGUUGAGCCUGCUCCUCUGCCUGAAGAAGCUCUCAUCUACAGAAAUAUGAUUGGCUGGGAUGAGUUACCACCACCAGAGCAUAACCAUGCGCCUCAGCACCAGGGUGCUCCACAUGAUGAGCCGCAUGAUGUGCAACAGGAGCUUGUGGAUGAGAAUCAAGUGGUUGUGGAUCAAUCACAAGAAUCGAUGGUUUUGCAAGUUUCGGAUGAUUCAGUUAAUAACCAGCCAGUGAAUGACAUGGUCAUUUUUCAGCAACCUGGGGCUCUCUUGCAGCCUCCUCUGCAUAUUGGACAGGUGCUCACUGUCUUUGGCCCUGUCCUGCCUCCUAACAUGCUGUGGAAGCGAUCAUUUGAGAAGAUGAUGCCCUCUCUCUGCUUUACUGAAAUUCCAAAGUUCAUGUUCAAGUCUGGAUUUGGGUCACUCUUGCUAUCUAACAAGUCUUGGGAUGUUUGCUUUACUGAAUAUGAUCUCAGCAUUGUUCUGCCACCCGUGCCUGCUUCUUCCAGCAUCAUUUGA
RNAcentral lists this ribosomal RNA (1104 nucleotides) under Triticum aestivum (bread wheat). Its description in RNAcentral is "partial small subunit ribosomal RNA". Lineage: Eukaryota; Viridiplantae; Streptophyta; Magnoliopsida; Poales; Poaceae. The record is from RNAcentral.